AGCGAACGCUGGCGGCAGGCCUAACACAUGCAAGUCGAACGAACCUUUCGGGGUUAGUGGCGGACGGGUGAGUAACUCGUGGGAACGUGCCUUUAGGUUCGGAAUAACUCAGGGAAACUUGUGCUAAUACCGAAUGUGCUCUUCGGGGGAAAGAUUAAUCGCCUUUAGAGCGGCCCGCGUCUGGUUAGCUAGUUGGUUGAGGUAAUGGCUCACCAAGGCGACGAUCAGUAGCUGGUCUGUGAGGAUGAUUAGCCACAUUGGGACUGAGACACGGCCCAAACUCCUACGGGAGGCAGCGGUGGGGAGUCUUGCGCAAUGGGCGAAAGCCUGACGCAGCCAUGCCGCGUGAAUGAUGAAGGUCUUAGGAUUGUAAAAUUCUUUCACCGGGGACGAUAAUGACGGUACCCGGAGAAGAAGCCCCGGCUAACUUCGUG
Molecule: ribosomal RNA, 434 nt
Filed under: uncultured bacterium
Lineage: Bacteria
Description: partial 16S ribosomal RNA
Rfam family: Bacterial small subunit ribosomal RNA
Source: RNAcentral